UACGAAGGGGCUAGCGUUGCUCGGAAUCACUGGCGUAAAGCGCACGUAGGCGGACUCUUAAGUCGGUGGUGAAAUCCUGGAGCUCAACUCCAGAACUGCCUUCGAUACUGAGAGUCUUGAGUCCGGAGAGGUGAGUGGAACUGCGAGUGUAGAGGUGAAAUUCGUAGAUAUUCGCAAGAACACCAGUGGCGAAGGCGGCUCACUGGCCCGGUACUGACGCUGAGGUGCGAAAGCGUGGGGAGCAAACAGG
Molecule: ribosomal RNA, 250 nt
Filed under: uncultured bacterium
Lineage: Bacteria
Description: partial 16S ribosomal RNA
Rfam family: Bacterial small subunit ribosomal RNA
Source: RNAcentral